RNAcentral lists this ribosomal RNA (487 nucleotides) under uncultured bacterium. RNAcentral describes it as "partial 16S ribosomal RNA". It matches the Rfam family "Bacterial small subunit ribosomal RNA", at positions 28 to 507 of the family's 1533-position model. The record is from RNAcentral.
GACGAACGCUGGCGGCGUGCUUAACACAUGCAAGUCGAACGGAAAGGCCCCCAUCUUGGUGGGGGUGCUCGAGUGGCGAACGGGUGAGUAACACGUGGGUGAUCUGCCCUGUACUUCGGGAUAAGCUUGGGAAACUGGGUCUAAUACCGGAUAGGACCAUGGUUUAGUGUCUCAUGGUGGAAAGAUUAUUGUUUUGGUGCAGGAUGAGCUCGCGGCCUAUCAGGUUGUUGGUGGGGUAAUGGCCUACCAAGGCGUCGACGGGUAGCCGGCCUGAGAGGGUGGACGGCCACAUUGGGACUGGGAUACGGCCCAGACUCCUACGGGAGGCAGCAGUGGGGAAUAUUGCACAAUGGGCGCAAGCCUGAUGCAGCGACGCCGCGUGGGGGAUGACGGCCUUCGGGUUGUAAACUCCUUUCGUUAGGGACGAAGCCACGCUUGUUGGGUGUGGUGACGGUACCUUUGUUAAGAAGCACCGGCUAACUACGUG